GACGAACGCUGGCGGCGUGCUUAACACAUGCAAGUCGAACGGAAAGGCCCUGCUUUUGUGGGGUGCUCGAGUGGCGAACGGGUGAGUAACACGUGAGUAACCUGCCCUUGACUUUGGGAUAACUUCAGGAAACUGGGGCUAAUACCGGAUAGGAGCUCCUGCUGCAUGGUGGGGGUUGGAAAGUUUCGGCGGUUGGGGAUGGACUCGCGGCUUAUCAGCUUGUUGGUGGGGUAGUGGCUUACCAAGGCUUUGACGGGUAGCCGGCCUGAGAGGGUGACCGGCCACAUUGGGACUGAGAUACGGCCCAGACUCCUACGGGAGGCAGCAGUGGGGAAUAUUGCACAAUGGGCGGAAGCCUGAUGCAGCAACGCCGCGUGCGGGAUGACGGCCUUCGGGUUGUAAACCGCUUUCGCCUGUGACGAAGCGUGAGUGACGGUAAUGGGUAAAGAAGCACCGGCUAACUACGUGCCAGCAGCCGCGGUGAUACGUAGGGUGCGAGCGUUGUCCGGAUUUAUUGGGCGUAAAGGGCUCGUAGGUGGUUGAUCGCGUCGGAAGUGUAAUCUUGGGGCUUAACCCUGAGCGUGCUUUCGAUACGGGUUGACUUGAGGAAGGUAGGGGAGAAUGGAAUUCCUGGUGGAGCGGUGGAAUGCGCAGAUAUCAGGAGGAACACCAGUGGCGAAGGCGGUUCUCUGGGCCUUUCCUGACGCUGAGGAGCGAAAGCGUGGGGAGCGAACAGGCUUAGAUACCCUGGUAGUCCACGCUGUAAACGGUGGGUACUAGGUGUGGGGUCCAUUCCACGGGUCCCGUGCCGUAGCUAACGCUUUAAGUACCCCGCCUGGGGAGUACGGCCGCAAGGCUAAAACUCAAAGGAAUUGACGGGGCCCCGCACAAGCGGCGGAGCAUGCGGAUUAAUUCGAUGCAACGCGUAGAACCUUACCUGGGUUUGACAUGGAUCGGGAGCGCUCAGAGAUGGGUGUGCCUCUUUUGGGGUCGGUUCACAGGUGGUGCAUGGCUGUCGUCAGCUCGUGUCGUGAGAUGUUGGGUUAAGUCCCGCAACGAGCGCAACCCUUGUUCACUGUUGCCAGCACGUUAUGGUGGGGACUCAGUGGAGACCGCCGGGGUCAACUCGGAGGAAGGUGGGGACGACGUCAAGUCAUCAUGCCCCUUAUGUCCAGGGCUUCACGCAUGCUACAAUGGCUGGUACAGAGAGUGGCGAGCCUGUGAGGGUGAGCGAAUCUCGGAAAGCCGGUCUCAGUUCGGAUUGGGGUCUGCAACUCGACCUCAUGAAGUCGGAGUCGCUAGUAAUCGCAGAUCAGCAACGCUGCGGUGAAUACGUUCCCGGG
RNAcentral lists this ribosomal RNA (1343 nucleotides) under uncultured bacterium. RNAcentral's name for it is "16S ribosomal RNA". It matches the Rfam family "Bacterial small subunit ribosomal RNA", at positions 28 to 1378 of the family's 1533-position model. The record is from RNAcentral.